RNAcentral lists this ribosomal RNA (281 nucleotides) under uncultured bacterium. Its description in RNAcentral is "partial 16S ribosomal RNA". It matches the Rfam family "Bacterial small subunit ribosomal RNA", at positions 335 to 631 of the family's 1533-position model. The record is from RNAcentral.
GUCCUACGGGGCGCAGCAGUGGGGAAUAUUGGGCAAUGGAGGCAACUCUUACCCAGCAAUGCCGCGUGAAUGAAGAAGGUCUUCGGAUUGUAAAGUUCUUUAAUUGGGGACGAAAAAAAUGACGGUACCCAAGGAAUAAGCCCCGGCUAACUACGUGCCAGCAGCCGCGGUAAUACGUAUGGUGCAAGCGUUAUCCGGAUUUACUGGGUGUAAAGGGAGUGCAGUCGGCGCGUUAAGCCUGGUGUGAAAGCCCGCGGCCCAACCGCGGGACUGCAUUGGGA